CCAAUAGCGUAUAUUAAAGUUGCUGCGGUUAAAAAGCUCGUAGUUGAAUUUCGGAAUUGAUGCAUCGGUCGUGCCUUAAGGGGCAUGAACUGGUGUAGCCAAUUUCUCACCUUCUGGUGAAUUGUUGAUGUUCUUAAUGGGUGUCUCAAUGAACUAGAAUUUUUACUUUGAAAAAAUUAGAGUGUUUAAAGCAGGCAUUAAUUUGCUUGAAUACAUUAGCAUGGAAUAAUGAAAUAGGACAGUGGUUCCGUUUUGUUGGUUUCUAGGAUCACGUAAUGAUUAAUAGGGACAGUUGGGGGCAUUAGUAUUCAAUUGUCAGAGGUGAAAUUCUUGGAUUUAUUGAAGACUAACUAUUGCGAAAGCAUUUGCCAAGGAUGUUUUCAUUAAUCAAGAACGAAAGUUAGGGGAUCAAAGACGAUUAAGUACGUCGUAGUCCUAACCAUAAACUAUACCGACUAGGAAUCAGACGAUGUUAAUUUUUUAAUGACUCGUUUGGUACCUUACG
This 505-nucleotide ribosomal RNA is filed under the name uncultured Glomeromycotina. Its description in RNAcentral is "SSU rRNA". It matches the Rfam family "Eukaryotic small subunit ribosomal RNA", at positions 591 to 1092 of the family's 1831-position model. Lineage: Eukaryota; Fungi; Glomeromycota. The record is from RNAcentral.